This 365-nucleotide ribosomal RNA is filed under the name Escherichia coli. Its description in RNAcentral is "partial 23S ribosomal RNA". It matches the Rfam family "Bacterial large subunit ribosomal RNA", at positions 1 to 409 of the family's 2925-position model. The record is from RNAcentral. Lineage: Bacteria; Pseudomonadati; Pseudomonadota; Gammaproteobacteria; Enterobacterales; Enterobacteriaceae.
GUUAAGCGACUAAGCGUACACGGUGGAUGCCCUGGCAGUCAGAGGCGAUGAAGGACGUGCUAAUCUGCGAUAAGCGUCGGUAAGGUGAUAUGAACCGUUAUAACCGGCGAUUUCCGAAUGGGGAAACCCAGUGUGUUUCGACACACUAUCAUUAACUGAAUCCAUAGGUUAAUGAGGCGAACCGGGGGAACUGAAACAUCUAAGUACCCCGAGGAAAAGAAAUCAACCGAGAUUCCCCCAGUAGCGGCGAGCGAACGGGGAGCAGCCCAGAGCCUGAAUCAGUGUGUGUGUUAGUGGAAGCGUCUGGAAAGGCGCGCGAUACAGGGUGACAGCCCCGUACACAAAAAUGCACAUGCUGUGAGCUC